ACAAUUACAAUUGUAGCUUCUGCUUUGAAAUAUUUCAAUGUUAUUUUAAAUAACUAAUUAACAGUUAAAACAUCAAAACUUUUCGAUUCUGUGUUUCAUCUAUAAACAUUUAAAAUUAAUAAACGUGUUGGAUAGACAUUUACUGAAAUAGUUGACCAGGAAAUUUGCCUAACAAAGAGAUCAUUCGAUCUUGUACGAGUGUUUUUUAAUUGUCCAGCUAAUCAAUUUACAUUCAAAGACUAGUCUAGUUGAAUUGUGUUAUUUAAUUCUAACCUAGCAUUGACUCACCAGUGAUAGAUGACAAUGGAAAUGUGUAAAUUAAUGUUUAAUGUUUAUCAACCUGUUACCCUGGUCAGUAUCACAAGAAGAUGACGACAACUCAGUGGAUGUUGACAGCAGCGCUGACGAUGAUGAGGGGGAGGCCGAUACUGUUGAUGUUGGAGACGAAGAUGAUGAAACCUCCGAUGAUGAUGAGGGAGAGCUGACUGAUGAAGAAGAUGAAGAACCCACCAUCUUUAUGAGCACAAGCCAAUUAAUUGCAUUGAUUCAAACGAUAACUCGUUUAGUGGAGGAAAAUUGCGGGUCCGACACAAAAUAUGAUCCAUUUCAAGAUCCUGAUGUAAACAAAUACUGGCAAUAAACAGUUAAAGCAAACAAUCGAUUGAUCACUUAUGAAAGCGAAACUGCAACUAAAAACUGCGACUGUUUGAUGUCCAUAAACUGAUUUACUGAGCGAUCAACCGGCUUCUAUUGAAAAAAUACUAUUUUACCUCUAAUUGAAAUAAUAAAGGAUUUAAUUGUAAAAA
This is a non-coding RNA of Tetranychus urticae (two-spotted spider mite), 806 nucleotides long. Lineage: Eukaryota; Metazoa; Arthropoda; Arachnida; Trombidiformes; Tetranychidae. The record is from RefSeq and is a predicted model, not a curated record.